RNAcentral lists this ribosomal RNA (1014 nucleotides) under uncultured bacterium. RNAcentral's name for it is "bacterial SSU rRNA". It matches the Rfam family "Bacterial small subunit ribosomal RNA", at positions 355 to 1375 of the family's 1533-position model. The record is from RNAcentral.
UGGGGAAUAUUGCACAAUGGGCGCAAGCCUGAUGCAGCGACGCCGCGUGCGGGAUGACGGCCUUCGGGUUGUAAACCGCUUUUGACUGGGAGCAAGCCCUUCGGGGUGAGUGUACCUUUCGAAUAAGCACCGGCUAACUACGUGCCAGCAGCCGCGGUAAUACGUAGGGUGCAAGCGUUAUCCGGAAUUAUUGGGCGUAAAGGGCUCGUAGGCGGUUCGUCGCGUCCGGUGUGAAAGUCCAUCGCUUAACGGUGGAUCCGCGCCGGGUACGGGCGGGCUUGAGUGCGGUAGGGGAGACUGGAAUUCCCGGUGUAACGGUGGAAUGUGUAGAUAUCGGGAAGAACACCAAUGGCGAAGGCAGGUCUCUGGGCCGUCACUGACGCUGAGGAGCGAAAACGUGGGGAGCGAACAGGAUUAGAUACCCUGGUAGUCCACGCCGUAAACGGUGGAUGCUGGAUGUGGGGACCAUUCCACGGUCUCCGUGUCGGAGCCAACGCGUUAAGCAUCCCGCCUGGGGAGUACGGCCGCAAGGCUAAAACUCAAAGAAAUUGACGGGGGCCCGCACAAGCGGCGGAGCAUGCGGAUUAAUUCGAUGCAACGCGAAGAACCUUACCUGGGCUUGACAUGUUCCCGACAGCCCCAGAGAUGGGGCCUCCCUUCGGGGCGGGUUCACAGGUGGUGCAUGGUCGUCGUCAGCUCGUGUCGUGAGAUGUUGGGUUAAGUCCCGCAACGAGCGCAACCCUCGCCCUGUGUUGCCAGCACGUCGUGGUGGGAACUCACGGGGGACCGCCGGGGUCAACUCGGAGGAAGGUGGGGAUGACGUCAGAUCAUCAUGCCCCUUACGUCCAGGGCUUCACGCAUGCUACAAUGGCCGGUACAACGGGAUGCGACACCGCGAGGUGGAGCGGAUCCCUUAAAACCGGUCUCAGUUCGGAUUGGAGUCUGCAACCCGACUCCAUGAAGGCGGAGUCGCUAGUAAUCGCGGAUCAGCAACGCCGCGGUGAAUGCGUUCCC